Molecule: ribosomal RNA, 449 nt
Filed under: uncultured bacterium
Lineage: Bacteria
Description: bacterial SSU rRNA
Rfam family: Bacterial small subunit ribosomal RNA
Source: RNAcentral
UUCCAGACUCCUACGGGAGGCAGCAGUGGGGAAUAUUGCACAAUGGGGGGAACCUUGAUGCAGCAACGCCGCGUGGGUGAAGAAGUACUCCGGUAUGUAAAGCCCUGUCAGCAGGGAAGAAAAUGACGGUACCUGACCAAGAAGCCCCGGCUAACUACGUGCCAGCAGCCGCGGUAAUACGUAGGGGGCAAGCGUUAUCCGGAUUUACUGGGUGUAAAGGGAGCGUAGACGGCUAUGCAAGUCUGGAGUGAAAGGCGGGGGCCCAACCCCCGGACUGCUCUGGAAACUGUAGAGCUAGAGUGCAGGAGAGGUAAGUGGAAUUCCUAGUGUAGCGGUGAUAUGCGUAGAUAUUAGGAGGAACACCAGUGGCGAAGGCGGCUUACUGGACUGUAACUGACGUUGAGGCUCGAAAGCGUGGGGAGCAAACAGGAUUAGAUACCCCCGUAAAA